AAACAAGCUAUAAAGAGCACACAGUGGAUGCCUUGGUGCUAUCAGGCGAUGAAGGACGUGAUAAGCUGCGAUAAGCUUCGGUGAGCGGCAAAUACGCUUUGACCCGGAGAUUUCCGAAUGGGGUAACCUAAUGCAGGUAAUGCUGCAUUGUUGCUUCCUGAAUAAAAUAAGGAAGUAAACGCGAUACCCGCUGAAGUGAAACAUCUCAGUAAGCGGAGGAAUAGAAAGAGAAAUCGAUUCCGUAAGUAGCGGCGAGCGAAAGCGGAACAGCCCAAACCGGUGACUUAGGUUACCGGGGUUGUAGGGCCUCAAUAUGGUAUCUCAACGGUUAGGUGAAGCGCGUGGAAAAGCGUUCCCAAGAGGGUGACAGGCCCGUAACCGAAAACCAGAGAGAGCCUAGAGUGUCCCUGAGUAAUACGGCACACGUGAAACGCCGUAUGAAUCUGUGCCGACCACGGCAUAAGGCUAAAUACUAGAUAGCGACCGAUAGUGAACAAGUACUGUGAAGGAAAGGUGAAAAGUACCCCUGCGAGGGGAGUGAAAUAGAUCCUGAAACCGUGUGCUUACAAGGUGUGAGAGCAGGCUUGUCCUGUGAUCGCGUGCCUUUUGCCUAAUGAGUCUGCGAGUUAGUAUCAGUGGCAAGCUUAAGUCCUUUUGGGACGUAGGCGUAGCGAAAGCGAGUCCGAAUAGGGCAAACAUAGUCGCUGGUGUUAGACCCGAAGCGGAGGUGAUCUACCCUUGACCAGGUUGAAGCUUGAGUAAAAUCAAGUGGAGGACCGAACCGGUGUCUGUUGAAAAAGGCUCGGAUGAGUUGAGGGUAGGAGUGAAAGGCUAAUCAAACCCCGUGAUAGCUGGUUCUCCUCGAAAUGUAUUUAGGUACAGCGUCACGUGUUGACCCAUGGGGGUAGAGCACUGAAUGAGCUAGGGGGCAUACCCGCUUACCAAACUCAAUCAAACUCCGAAUACCAUGGGGUAGAGCGUGGCAGUGAGACAGUGGGGGAUAAGCUUCAUUGUCGAAAGGGAAAGAACCCAGAUCAGCAGCUAAGGUGCCUAAAUACCGCUCAGUGGAAAGGAAGUGAGAUUUCAUAGACAGUGAGGAUGUUGGCUUAGAGGCAGCCACCAUUUAAACAAUGCGUAAUAGCUGACUCAUCGAGAGAUCUUGCGCCGAAAAUAAUUGGCGAUAAGCGGUAUACCGAAGCUCUGGAUGUUAUGUUUCUUCGGAUUCAUAGCGUGGUAGAGGAGCAUUGUUAGAACAUUGAAGUGCGAUGGCGACUGACCAUGGAGCUCUAACAAGUGAGAAUGCAGACAUGAGUAACGAUAAGACGGGUGAAAUCCCCGUCCGCCGUAAACCCGAGGGUUCCUGGGCAAUGCUAAUCAUCCCAGGGUUAGUCGGGACCUAAGCCGAGGCCGAAGGGCGUAGGCGAUGGAAAGCAGGUUAAUAUUCCUGCACGUCCGAAACUUAACCCAGAAGGACGCAUUCCUAGAGAGAUAAUACCGACUGAUAGUGGUAGAGGGGAAACUUCGGUGGAACCUACCUUCUCGACGGGAGUGCCAAGAAAAGUUCUGGUGCAUGCUAAGGACCCCGUACCGUAAACCGACACAGGUGGGUGAGUAGAAUAUACUAAGGCGUAAGAGUGAAACCUCGUUAAGGAACUCGGCAAUCUAGCCCCGUAACUUAGGGAUAAGGGGUCCCUGCUUCGGCAGGGCGCAGUGAAAGGGGCCAACCGACUGUUUAGCAAAAACACAGCAUUCUGCUAAGACGAAAGUCGACGUAUAGGAUGUGACACGUGACCAAUGCCAAAAGAUUAAGGUAAGGUGUUAGCCCUCGGGCGAAGCUCUGAACCCAAGUCCUGGUGAAUGUCGGCCGUAACUAUAACGGUCCUAAGGUAGCGAAAUUCCUUGUCGGGUAAGUUCCGACCUGCACGAAUCGUGCAACGAGUUGGCCGCUGUCUCAACGAGGAGCUCAGUGAAGUUGUAGUGCCGGUGAAGAUGCCGGCUACCCGCAGAAGGACGGAAAGACCCUUUGCACCUUAACUGUACGCAGUCACUGGUGUUCUGGUUCUGAUGCUCAGAGUAAGUGGGAGACGUUGAAGCUUGUCUUUAGGGGCAGGUGGAGUCGCCAAUGAGACACCACCCUUUGGUAUUGGGACAUCUAACCGCAGGCCUUGAAACAGGAUGCGGGACCAUGGCUGCCGGUCAGUUUUACUGGGGCGGUAUCCUCCUAAAGAGUAACGGAGGAGCGCGAAGUUUGGCUCAGCACGGUUGGCAAUCGUGUUUCGAGUGCAUAGGCAUAAGCCAGACUAACUGUGAGACCUACAAGUCGAGCAGAUACGAAAGUAGGCCUAAGUGAUCCGGUAGUAGAAAGUGGAAUCGCUAUCGCUCAACGGAUAAAAGGUACGCUAGGGAUAACAGGCUGAUCGCGCCCAAGAGUUCAUAUCGACGGCGCGGUUUGGCACCUCGAUGUCGGCUCGUCACAUCCUGGGGCUGGAGAAGGUCCCAAGGGUUCGGCUGUUCGCCGAUUAAAGUGGCACGCGAGCUGGGUUCAGAACGUCGCGAGACAGUUCGGUCCUCUAUCCUCUGCGGGCGUAGGAAAAUUGAGGGGUUCAAACUCUAGUACGAGAGGACCGAGUUUGACGCACCACUGGUGUUCCAGUUGUUCCGUCAGGGGCAUUGCUGGGCAGCUAAGUGCGGCACGGAUAAGCGCUGAAAGCAUCUAAGCGUCAAGCCAUUCCCAAGAUUAGUUUUCCCUGAAGGACCGUGGGAGACCACCACGUUGAUAGGCUAUGGGUGUAAGUGCAGUAAUGUAUUCAGCUUAGUAGUACUAAUCGUCCGUUCGGCUUGUUUAC
Molecule: ribosomal RNA, 2846 nt
Filed under: Verrucomicrobiales bacterium
Lineage: Bacteria; Pseudomonadati; Verrucomicrobiota; Verrucomicrobiia; Verrucomicrobiales
Description: 23S ribosomal RNA
Rfam family: Bacterial large subunit ribosomal RNA
Source: RNAcentral